GAUGAACGCUGGCGGCGUGCCUAAUACAUGCAAGUCGAGCGGACGGACGAGAAGCUUGCUUCUCUGAUGAUAGGGGCGGACGGGAGUGACACACGUGUAUCACCUACCUAUAUGACUGAGAUCACUUCGGGACACCGGAGAUAAUACCAGAUAAUAUUUUGAACCGCGUGGUGCAAAAGUGAGAGACGGUCUUGCGGUCACUUCUAGAGGGAUACGCGCUGGAUUAGCUAGUUGGUAAGGUCACGGGUUACCAAGGCGACGAUGCAUAGCCGAGCUGAGAGAGUGAUAGGCCACACUAGAGCGUAGACACCGUCCAGACUCCUACGGGAGGCAGCAGUAGCGAAUCUGCCGCAGUGGGCGAAAGCCUGACGGAGCAACGGCGCGUGAGUGAUGAAGGCCUUCGGAUCGUGAUACUCUGUUAUGAGGGAAGAACAUCUGUGUAAGUAACUGUGGACAUCUUGACGGUACCUGAUCAGAAAGCAACGGCUAACUACGUG
RNAcentral lists this ribosomal RNA (497 nucleotides) under uncultured bacterium. RNAcentral's name for it is "partial 16S ribosomal RNA". It matches the Rfam family "Bacterial small subunit ribosomal RNA", at positions 28 to 507 of the family's 1533-position model. The record is from RNAcentral.